This 565-nucleotide ribosomal RNA is filed under the name Papiliotrema laurentii. RNAcentral's name for it is "partial large subunit ribosomal RNA". It matches the Rfam family "Eukaryotic large subunit ribosomal RNA", at positions 99 to 654 of the family's 3401-position model. Lineage: Eukaryota; Fungi; Basidiomycota; Tremellomycetes; Tremellales; Rhynchogastremaceae. The record is from RNAcentral.
CGGGAAGAGCUCAAAUUUGAAAUCUGGCGUCCUCAGGGCGUCCGAGUCGUUUCUAUAGAGGCGUUUUCCGUGCCGGACCGUGUCCAAGUUCCUUGGAACAGGAUAUCAAAGAGGGUGACAAUCCCGUACUUGACACGACGACCGGUGCUCUGUGAUACGUCUUCUACGAGUCGAGUUGUUUGGGAAUGCAGCUCAAAAUGGGUGGUGAGUUCCAUCUAAAGCUAAAUAUUGGCGAGAGACCGAUAGCGAACAAGUACCGUGAGGGAAAGAUGAAAAGCACUUUGGAAAGAGAGUUAAACAGUACGUGAAAUUGUUGAAAGGGAAACGAUUGAAGUCAGUCGUGACCGAGAGGCUCAGCCGGUUCUGCCGGUGUAUUCCCCUCGGUCGGGUCAACAUCAGUUUUGUCCGGUGGAUAAGGGCGGUAGGAAGGUGGCACCCUCGGGUGUGUUAUAGCCUGCCGUCGCAUACAUCGGGUGAGACUGAGGAACGCAGCUCGCCUUUAUGGCCGGGGUUCGCCCACGUCCGAGCUUAGGAUGUUGACAUAAUGGCUUUAAACGACCCGUCU